RNAcentral lists this ribosomal RNA (480 nucleotides) under uncultured bacterium. Its description in RNAcentral is "bacterial SSU rRNA". It matches the Rfam family "Bacterial small subunit ribosomal RNA", at positions 335 to 800 of the family's 1533-position model. The record is from RNAcentral.
ACUCCGUACGGGAGGCAGCAGGUGGGGAAUAUUGCACAAUGGGCGCAAGCCUGAUGCAGCCAUGCCGCGUGUAUGAAGAAGGCCUUCGGGUUGUAAAGUACUUUCAGCAGUGAGGAAGGUGGGUAUGUUAAUAGCAUAUUCAUUUGACGUUAGCUGCAGAAGAAGCACCGGCUAACUCCGUGCCAGCAGCCGCGGUAAUACGGAGGGUGCGAGCGUUAAUCGGAAUUACUGGGCGUAAAGCGCAUGCAGGUGGUUUGUUAAGUCAGAUGUGAAAGCCCGGGGCUCAAACCUCGGAAUUGCAUUUGAAACUGGCAAAACUAGAGUACUGUAGAGGGGGGGUAGAAUUUCAGGUGUAGCGGUGAAAUGCGUAGAGAUCUGAAGGAAUACCGGUGGCGAAAGGCGGCCCCCCGUGGACAGAUACUGACACUCAGAUGCGAAAGCGUGGGGAGCAAACAGGAUUAGAUACCCUGUAGGCUCUGC